AAGUGCAGUUGAUUGCUGGAGUUCAAGGCCUAGUCUCAGGGCCAUAGCAUCUCAAAUUACUACAAAAACAAAGUAUUUUCAUGGUAUUCCUGAUUAUUUGCUACCUGGUUAGUUACAAAGAGAGAGCCUAGGCCAAAAUCAUGCAACAGUUGCUGUUUCUGAUGUGUGGGAGCCAUGUCAGCCAGGUUUUUUUUCUCAUUUAUUGAUAUGUACAAGGAUGGGAGAUAGACACAGCCAAAAAUGCUGGGAUCCAAAUAUUUUCCAAGUUCUAAGAUAUCCAGAAUGGGGAGUUAAUUUUGUCUCCUAGUGAAGAUAGGGGGUCCCCAUGGAACAUUUCAAUGGGAGGCAAAGCUCUCCACAGACCUGGGGUGUGCUGGACGAGCAUUUCUGUUCUGCUUCAAAGGCAGAGGAGGAGGGAGCGAUGCGAUAAAAUCAGUUUCCAGCCCUAAAGCUGACUUGGAUCUGGGGGUUCUUUGUGAACCUUACAAAGCUUUUUCUCCAGCCAGCCACCUUCACUCGCCCCUGAGCACGUGCCAGGAAUUCCCUAGCAAAGGAAGCUGCCAAACCCAGGGAGUUGUGAUAAUUCUCUGCUAUCACAUCCAUAAAGCCUCAGCCGAGGCUGCUCUUCCCCCAAGCGAGCAGGGGCACGGCGUGUCCAAGAAGGAACAUCUUCAGCCUACAGCUCUGUUAUUUUAUUCCCUCUCUGUGCUGCAGCUUUGUGUUUUUACGGGGCUGUGAUGGCUCUAUGCAGGAGAAUUUCUGCAUUCCCUCUUCGUUUGGGAAGCAAAUUUCAGCCGUGCACUCCGGGGGCAGGAAGGCACGCUGCUCCUCCGCUCUGACUGGAGGCUGUGCAGUAACACAGCAAGCUCAACCUUGAGAAGGGGGAGAGGCACUCUGGGACCCAGGCUGGUUUAUAUCUCAGCUGAUUCUCCUCUUUCUCUCUUCCAUAUCCCCUUAAUAGCUUGACAGGAGAAAUAUAGGGAAGAUACAGCCAUCUGAUUAACAGUGCCGGGGGCUGGGGAUGGAUGACAAGGAGAGGGAGCACAGCGUGGCUACCAGCCAAGUUCCAGCAAGAAACAGAAUAUCUGGCUUCCUCUAAUCUCUGGAGGAAAAUUAAGUUACAAAAACCUUUAGUGGAAACUUUGCAUACGUUCAGUACCAUUGCUAUGCCUGACAGAAAAAAAAAACCUCCCUGAUAUAUUAUUUAGUUUCUAGUUAUAGAAUUAAAGGCACAAGCUUUCCCACCAGGAAUAAAGAAAAAAACAAAUCCUCUCGAAAACUAAAGACAAAACCUCAUAAAACCCCUUGAAUGUUUUGUGCUGUCAGAGUUCUUGAGAAAUUCCCCUUUCUGUGUUAAUGGAGGGUUGUGUGGAUAGAGUGAAGAUGUCUGAACAUCUUCCCAAUUAAUUUUUGCACUUACAUGUAGAUCCCUUCUUGUUUUUCGAGCCAUUUGCUCUGCCUCCUGCAGGAGCAGUGAAGAAGAGGAGAAGGUGGAGGUGGGGAAAAGCUCCAAAUUGCCCUGGGAGAAGGUUAGGUUGCUCCUGCCCCCACUGAGCCCAAGAGCCAAGACCAUUGCCUUGCUGUUCAUCAGAAAUGUGUAUUACACACAGAGAGGAAUUCCUCCCCCUCCUCCAUGUCUGUCAUUAAUGUGUUGAUGAAAAAUAGUGGAGUUUGAUUUAAAAAAAAUAGGUUAGGUGUUAAGUGAGCAACAAGUUGAGACCUGUGCAUAUGAGAGAGAGUGCUGAUUAAAAUGAAAUAGCCUAUUUAUUGACUGUUACAUCUAAAGCAGUUGGAGCAACCAUGAUGAAAGUAUUACUUACAUGUUGCUCAGCUUUAUGAGAGGGGAAAAAAGAAGCUAGACUGGCUGGUUAGAACUUUUCUUCAUUAAGGCUUACAGUAUGUUGAUAUGUGUACACAGUGCAAUUUUUUCAUGUCAGAAACAUGAGCCAAGGGUCUGAACAGCCAUUGCCUGGCUCAGCACCAUGCCUUCCCCUGGCUGGCUGUGCUCUCCUCUUGCUGCCUAUCCAGGCUAGUGGGAAUCUAUCUCUGCUUCCUCCACGAGGAGAAAGCAGAGAUGCAUUUGCAGUAUUUCCCUCCACCUUGCUGCAAGCAGCUUGCUCCCAACCUUCCUCACGUUAUUCCUUCACCAGCUUGUCUGAAGGGAACAUUUUCCAUGCAGAGGAAUGUUAGAGCUGUGUUUACAUGCCAUUUCCCUUCUGAGAGCUUUAUUUCUCUUCAGCCUCAGGGACCUCACCACCAGCCAAAUCUCAAUAUGGGGCUGAAAUUGUACACUGGCCCCGGGCAGCCCUGCCGUGGGACAGAGGGGUGUGUUUGUGUAAGUGUGCACGUGUGUUGUGUGCACACAAAAACAGAUGUGUGCCGUCCAGAAUAAAUGAGGCUAUUCAAAGUGCCACAAAAUGGACAAUUUAUGGCCAGUUUCAGCAAUUAGUCAGACCAAAGGAGUGAGGUGGGUCAGUAUGUAAACCCUCACUGUGCUGUUUUCUUUAAAAAUGCAAUAGGGAGUUCCAGCUGAUGAGCAAAGAUACUGAGAAAGGGUAAUUAAAAAGAAACAAUCUUUGAUGUUCCUCUUAUUACAGUUUCUCCUCAUUUUGUUGUGCUUCCCUUACCUGGUCGUGAGAAACAGAGCUGCUGAUUUCUUUUGGGGAGGGCAGCGUGGGUGUGGGUGCACAGGCAGUUCUGCAGCAAGAAUUCACUCUUUGCUUCCUGCCAAGCUCUUGCACCUUGCAGUGAAUUCAGGUACUUCCUGCAGAAGUGCUGGCACUUAGCAGAAAUUCUAGGUAUCAGCCUACAGGGCCAUCCACUUGUGUGACUAUUUUUAUUGAGCUAAUGGGGGAAGAAGUUCCCCUGCAAAAUAUUGACAGCUUCUAAAAUACUCCACCAGGACAAGAGUAGUUUAAACUGUGUAAAUUAAACCUUGAGCAUGACCUGCCCACAUAGUUCACCACCUCUGUUAGCAUAAAUAUUCUGUUCCAUUUGAAACAAGUAUUUUUUUCUUCUACUCAGGUUUCAGUUCUUCUGCUUCCAGCACUUUAUUUUGUGCCACACUCAUAAGAUUGCAGGUUUCACAUACGCUGUUACAAACUCCUGAGCAACACAAAUUUUUGUGCUGUAUGGAAGGUAUUUAAGUUCAGGUGGUACAGUAAGAAGGUAAACUUUGCAUGACUUUUUGUUUCUCCUAGCCCAUGGGCAGACUUUUCUGACUUGUGCAUCAUGAGUGUGCUCAGUUGUAAUAUAGUGAAGCUGGCUGCUGCUCAUGGAUGUUCUUUCAUUUGUGGGGAUGAGAAUGAAAGAUGAAAAGUGCAGUGGAAUGGUUGGGAGUUAUUUAAUCAAAGUCUUUCAAUGAAAGAAAAGAUAUUUUAAUAUGCAGUUUGAUUCACUGCAAAUUUUUGGCAGUAGAUGGGGCCCUUACUGUAAUAAAAUUCCAUCAAAUUGGGAAGUCUCUUGGAGGUGGUGCAGUAUGUUGGAGCUGACUCCUGGAACAUCAUCCCUGACCUAACUCAGGCUCUUUGUUGUCUCCAUGAAAAUUCUCAUGAGAAAAAGCCAAAAAUCUGGGAAAGGGUUCUUAUACAAUGUUCUUAUACCUCUGCACCCCAACCUUUCACUGCCUUCUGUCCUAGUUCUUUCUUUUACUGUCUUUCUUUCCAAAAAUCUGCAAACCCACGGGCUCCCUGAUUCUGUCCCUGCUGACCACACUCAGGACACUGCCCGAGCUCAAGGAUGAGCAGGAAGGGAAACACACCCCUGGAACAGGAUGGGGCAGAGCCAGAACCUCACCUUCUGCCAUAACACUGUGAAUUCAACAUUUCACUCGAGCAAACCCACAUUUCCUGGCAGUGCUGGGGCUGGCCUGGAAUCCAGACCUGGUGUGCUCAAGACAAGGAGAAGGGAAUGGGAGUCCUGGGGAGAAAGAAAGCCUUGGCAAGCACCCCUAAGUCAUUUACCUUUUUGGAGAACCUACAUCAGUACCACAGCUACAGCCUGAUGUUCGCUCUGGAGAGUGAACAGCAAAUGCUUUGUGUCCUGCACUGAGCUGGAGAGCAAGGUGAAUUUGUGGACUUUCCUCCUGGGUGAUGCUAUCAGGACAAGCUGUGAAGUUGGAUGUCUGAAACAGAUCAAGUCAAUUUUCUAAACACCAGUACACAAGAUGUCACAUUUAGCAGGGAAUUGUCAAAUGCUUGAAAACUGGAAUCACAGGAGCACUGUUUAAUGCUAAGUGGUAUCUGCAUCAUCUCUGAAGCUGGAACAUGCCAGGAAAACAUCCUUCACAUUCUGCACUAGUAUUUCCAAGCUUUCAGGACCAAUCAUGGGUUGGCUGGAUCUGGAGUUGCCAUCCAGCUUGUGGCUGUCUUCACCUGGCCCAAAGCAUGUGUGAGAAGUGCUUGCCCCUGAUGUGAGAUCCCAGCUCUGACCAUCACCUGGCAAUCUGCUAUGCUGGAACUUAUAGAAUGUAGCUGUGGGAAGAAGGAGAUUGAAAAUGCUGGGGCUAAAACCGUGUGGAUCCAGCACCUCCUCGGGUGGACAGGACAAGGUCACAGCAUCCCAGGAGAGAUGGGACUGACAAGGAGGGGAUGCUCCUGCUGUAGGCAAGGCAGGGGUGGAGGGAGCCUGGAUCCUGCACCCUCCUGCUACCCUGUGCCUUGGAGAAUCCUGAAGAAAGCAGAGGGGGCUGUGUGCGGAUUCAAAUGUGAGAAUCGUGAAGCCUGGAUUACUCAAACAAAUUUUGGUGCAGUCUGCUGACUUUAAAUGCUUCCUGGAAAGACUUUGUGAAAAAUGUGCAGCCAAGCAGGAGGAGUCAAAGGUUAUGGCCCAGAGGAGAAGGAGUUCGUGGGCAGCAGGUUCUCCUCAAGCUGAGAGGAACCUUCUUCCCUUUAAUACUAUUUUCCUUUGUGCCUUUGUGGUUGGACUGGCUCCCCCAAAAGGCUGUAAUAGACUUUGUUUCUUGUUUAUCACAACACCUGAAUAUCUGGGGAGUUUUGCCACCUUCAUCUCAAAUCCUGGCUGUUGGUGUGAGGAGGAUGUCAAUUGUAACACAGCAACUUACUCUUUUUCUCACCAGCUAUUUUCCUCUCAGCUGGAUAGCUGGACACAGCUGUUUCCCUGCUCUGGAAACGGACCCAAAGGAAUCAGAAACAAAGGAUGCUGAUGCUGCUUUUCAUCCUUCUGCCCAAGGAGAAUAAAUGUUUGUGCAAACCUUUUUUCAUGUGGCUGCCCAGAAAUGACCCAAGUGAAGCCAAGAAGCUGAACAUUAAGCAACCUUCCCCUGGUGAUGCUGCUGAAAUGAGAGAAUGCAUCCUCUGACACUGUGUGACAUAGCCCAGACUGCAGCUGGCCAUCAAUCCAGGGCUGGUCCACAUCACACCAAAUGCCACUUUCUUGCCACCAGAUUUCACAGCACAGAGGGUGUGUCCCUCUCUCAGCCUGGCAACUUCUGAUAACUCUGAUAACUCACUAAUGACUCAGAAAUCAAGAACUCAAAUCCAAAAUUCAAGAUCUUCCUCUCCAACCUGGCAACAGCUCUGAGGUUCAUUCACAGACCAUUCAUCCCAGAGAAAAGAGUCUGUUUGAAGGCACUCCAAGCCUCAAAUUUUGGUGAAAGGUCCAUCUGAGUCAGUGAAGUGUUUCCCAACAGGGAUCAUGAGGAAGAACAGCUUAAAGUAGACACUUGUAUUUUAGGAACUAGGAUGAGGUGAGAGAGAUCCUACAAUCUGCAGAGUGGUGUACAUACACAGGCCAAAGUUCAGGACACCUCAGGCUGGGCAGUUUUCUGAGGUUUUAGCACUGAUCUUUCUUUCUAUUGAUGUUUUAAAUUAGCACUUUCAGGGAAGCUCUGUGUCCCACAGAAGAUCUGAUUUGAUUUUGGAGGUGCCUUUCCUCCUACUUUGUAGAAAAACUCUGAAACAGCAACUCAUUCAUUAUCUACAUUUGAUUAAGUGUGGAUCAGAUGAGCCCAGGUGGCUUUUCCUACACUAGGACCAGCAUUCCCAUUGGCUCCUUAUUUGGGGCAAGGCACCUAAAUGCUUUUGUCACCCUGACCUUUACUCUGUUGUAAUUUCACUUCUGACGUCUCAACUGAGAUCUCUCACAAGGGAGAGCAAUUAGUGCCCAUCACAAGGAAAGCUUUUGCAACAUGGGUGACUGCCCACAAGAAACACAGUUGAGACCACCAACUGUUUUAUUUGUUUUUCUUCCAAUUUCUGCUGAUUGAGAAGCUCAUGAGAUACAUCUCAUUUCCCUGGAGGUCCCCAGGGAAGCAGUGGUCAGACAGACCUUUUCCAUCCUGCUUUGGGCAAUGCUGGUGGUACAGCUAAAUUCUGCUUUAUUGAGGCCUCAUUAAUGCUACUGGCAGCUUAUUUCAGCCACCAGACUCUUAUUAUUUGAUGGCAAUUCACUGCUUUUCAGAGCCUGAUUUGGACAAGCUACAUAGAGGGAAAUGGUUUAGUGUCUUGAGCUACAGAUUAUAGAGAAUUAAACUAAAAACUCCAAUAAUGGUUUUGGUGCUAGAGGCUCCAUUGUGGAUGGGAGCCACUGUUCUUUUUGAAAAUAGCCUCUGCUCACUGCAGUGGCAGGUGGAGGUUCUCAGAUCUGUAUCUAUCUGCAGACCUAAAUUUAAAAACUUGAGAUGUCUUUGCAUUUCUCUGCACUAGGUAAUCAUAAAUUGUGGAAUCAUAAAAUACCCAGAAUUGCAAGGGACGCACAAGGAUCAUCAAUGUCCAGUCCUGGCCCUGCACAGGACAGCCCAGAAGUCCCACCCUGUGCCUGAGAAUGUUGUAUGCUGUGCCCACAGGUUUUGCCCAGUACAAUAGAUAACAUCUACACUGCAUCAUCCUUUUGCUAAUUUGAGCAGGAAUUUCAGUAUCCCUUCAAAUCCCUCUCCUUGCUGCUUCCUCCAGUUUGAGGGAGGCCAGUAAUUUGCUGGUGGCUGUUUAACCUCAGGAGGCCUUUUUGCCUCCCCAUCUCCUACCCCACACAGCCUGAGAUGCUCUUGCCAGCAAGCUGAGCUGAGGCUCGCCUCAUUUCCUCCCCUGUAAUUCCACUCUUUGCUUGGAUGAGAAAGGCACUGAAUAGAUUAAAUUUACCUCUUCCUCUGUGGCUGGAUUAUCCAUGCUUCCUGUGUGUGGGAACAGACCAAGUCACAUUGAGUUCUAGGAGUGAUUCAGGUAGAGACAGAGCCUUCACUUUAACUGGACCUUGCAUAUGAGUAUCUCAAAUAAUUAAAAAAUUCUGUGCAAAUAUACCAUGCCAACACUUCUGUUUUAUAAAAUUGUCUGGGCUAUACUUAGGACUUGUCUCUGCUGGUGUUACUUGGAGUAUUUCCACCAGCUUUAGUUUGGACUGGGUUAUCUUAGAAAUAAUUUUUGAUGGAAUCAUUUGUGGUUCUUUACUGAUUUCCUUAAUUCAACCUAUUUUCAUACAAGAAAGGUCUUUGCUUCUUACCACAGGAGGUGCAGCACAGGCCUGAUCCCUGUAACCUCACAAGCCAGAAACCGCUAAAAGAUCAUGUCCACUACAAGUCAUAAAAUCUUUUUUUUAUUAAACUAUCUCAAUUAUCCAGAAAAUGUGUUUUCAUGAUGAGGCUAAGGCACAGAAUUUCAUGUAAAGCAUACAAUUAAAUAUGUGUGUGUGUAGAUUAUAAAAAUGUUUGGGAAAAACUGCUCAAAGAUAACCACCAAUGAUUUGUCUGGCAAGAUACCAUAUGCUUAUUCUCAUUCCAGAGAUCCCAUGUCUGAUCAAACUGGAUUUAUAACAAAACAUUCAAAAUAUAGGUUAUUUUUUGGAUCAAGAGAAUAAAGUUUUCCCCUGCCAUGAUGCCUACAAAGGGAGCUGGUAAUGCCAGGGAACAAGAUGUGCUGGGACUCCUGCUUAUCACAGUUGUUCUCUUUUAGAACUCUUUUAUUUCUUGUUUGUUUGUCUAUCUCUCUCUCUUGUCCUGCAUUUAGAUAUUAAGCUUCUUGGACAGAGCAUGAUUUGGCUUUCAUUGUUCCAACAGUCACAGAUUUAUUGCAGAGGAACUCUUGAUUUGGGACCAAUUGAUGAUGAUAACAGAUAUUGAGUGAAAGUCACAAAAGAAAGCUCCACAGCUGAGCUUGAUGCAAAGAGUGCAGCAUUAGGAAAGGUUUAUGAAAAAGCACAAAUUUUGCAGAAUCUUGUUUAGUUCCUCUUUCAGUCUCUGAUUCUGGAUUUCAGGGAAGAGGUGGCCACACAUAACAACAGAGUUUCCUCCUGGUGAUACCUCUGUGAGGACUUAGCCAUCCCCAGACACGGCAGGGAGCAUUGGGCAACAUGCUUAUGUUUCAUGUGACUUUCCCAUGAAUCACAUCUCCUUUUGUCACCAGAGCAUCCCAUCCCAUCCCAUCCCAUCCCAUCCCAUCCCAUCCCAUCCCAUCC
This is a non-coding RNA of Taeniopygia guttata (zebra finch), 8406 nucleotides long. NCBI's taxonomy places the organism in Eukaryota, Metazoa, Chordata, Aves, Passeriformes, Estrildidae. The record is from RefSeq and is a predicted model, not a curated record.